AGUGAACGCUGGCGGUAGGCCUAACACAUGCAAGUCGAACGGCAGCACAGGAGAGCUUGCUCUCUGGGUGGCGAGUGGCGGACGGGUGAGGAAUACAUCGGAAUCUACCUUUUCGUGGGGGAUAACGUAGGGAAACUUACGCUAAUACCGCAUACGACCUACGGGUGAAAGUGGGGGACCGCAAGGCCUCACGCGAUUAGAUGAGCCGAUGUCCGAUUAGCUAGUUGGCGGGGUAAUGGCCCACCAAGGCGACGAUCGGUAGCUGGUCUGAGAGGAUGAUCAGCCACACUGGAACUGAGACACGGUCCAGACUCCUACGGGAGGCAGCAGUGGGGAAUAUUGGACAAUGGGCGCAAGCCUGAUCCAGCCAUACCGCGUGGGUGAAGAAGGCCUUCGGGUUGUAAAGCCCUUUUGUUGGGAAAGAAAUCCUGUCGAUUAAUACUCGGUGGGGAUGACGGUACCCAAAGAAUAAGCACCGGCUAACUACGUGCCAGCAGCCGCCGUAA
This 506-nucleotide ribosomal RNA is filed under the name uncultured bacterium. RNAcentral's name for it is "partial 16S ribosomal RNA". It matches the Rfam family "Bacterial small subunit ribosomal RNA", at positions 29 to 523 of the family's 1533-position model. The record is from RNAcentral.